Non-coding RNA from Epinephelus lanceolatus (giant grouper), 342 nucleotides. The record is from RefSeq and is a predicted model, not a curated record. NCBI's taxonomy places the organism in Eukaryota, Metazoa, Chordata, Actinopteri, Perciformes, Serranidae.
GGCAUAGUACACUUCAUAAAUCUAUGCGCGACUUCCGCUCGGUCUCUCAGUCUACCAGAAUCAUGGCGCGUGGAUCGGUGCAGAAAUGCUUGUCAGCUAAGAGCUGCAGCGUCUCCUGAUGAGCAAGUGCUGUAUCAUAUAGCAGACACUAUGGGAUAGAGCCACCAACGGGAGUCCUGCCUUGCCUUUGGGACUAAUGGCAGAGCCUCUUGAAGCUGCUCAGCGUGGGGCUGACUGUCAUGCUGCAGGCUGACUGAGGGUAAGUAGCAGAACCACUUGAACCGUGUUUUUUUUUUUUUUUUUUAAUAUGAAACGAUCAUGUUUCAUGCUGUGAUGACUCAA